AGAGAGAGGGUUCAAGGAAAUGGGUAUGGGGCUAAGGAUUUAAAGUAGAUAGAGGAUUUAUUAUAGAAAGGAAAAGGGGAAGAGAGAGAAAGAAAAACAAGGGAAGAGAGAGAGAGAAGGGGGGUGUUAAGAUGUCACAGAUGCAGUGGUUGGAAGAGAGGGAGUUUACUUGGGUUUUGGUCAAUCUUGGAAUAAGAAAUGAGGGUUUUCAGGAGAGAGAGAGAGAGAGAGGAGAGAGGAGAGAGGAGAGAGAAAGAGAGUAGGCGGAGGAAUUUGCUUCAAGGAAGGAGGAGAGAGCUGGGGGUUGGAGGGGGGAGCUGUUUCUUGCGACCUCUGUCACUCCUCUUUCUCUCUCUAAGCCGUCUUUUUUUUUUUUAAGAGACGAGUCCUUUAGUUGGCAUGCCUCCUCCUCUCUCCACUGGUUCGAUGGGAAGUCCACC
Molecule: long non-coding RNA, 440 nt
Filed under: Amborella trichopoda
Lineage: Eukaryota; Viridiplantae; Streptophyta; Magnoliopsida; Amborellales; Amborellaceae
Description: long non-coding RNA (ATRI_LNC002787)
Source: RNAcentral